RNAcentral lists this ribosomal RNA (253 nucleotides) under uncultured bacterium. RNAcentral's name for it is "partial 16S ribosomal RNA". It matches the Rfam family "Bacterial small subunit ribosomal RNA", at positions 524 to 776 of the family's 1533-position model. The record is from RNAcentral.
UACGUAGGGUGCGAGCGUUAAUCGGAAUUACUGGGCGUAAAGCGUGCGCAGGCGGUUCGUUAAGUUCGAUGUGAAAGCCCCGGGCUCAACCUGGGAACUGCAUUGGAAACUGGCGGGCUUGAGUGUGGCAGAGGGGGGUGGAAUUCCACGUGUAGCAGUGAAAUGCGUAGAGAUGUGGAGGAACACCGAUGGCGAAGGCAGCCCCCUGGGCUAAUACUGACGCUCAGGCACGAAAGCGUGGGGAGCAAACAGG